Molecule: unclassified non-coding RNA, 391 nt
Filed under: soil metagenome
Description: partial contains 5.8S ribosomal RNA, internal transcribed spacer 2, and large subunit ribosomal RNA
Rfam family: 5.8S ribosomal RNA (bases 1-122)
Source: RNAcentral
GAUGAAGAACGCAGCGAAAUGCGAUACUUGGUGUGAAUUGCAGAAUCCCGUGAACCAUCGAGUCUUUGAACGCAAGUUGCGCCCGAAGCCAUUAGGCCGAGGGCACGCCUGCCUGGGUGUCACACGUCGUUGCCCCCCCAUCUACUCCUUCGGGAUUGCGGGGGGCGGAUGAUGGCCUCCCGUGCGCCUCGUCGCGCGGUUGGCAUAAAUGCCAAGUCCUCGGCGACGCACGCCACGACAAUCGGUGGUUGCGAAACCUCGGUUGUCCGUCGUGUGCGGUCGUCGCGCAUCGAGGGCUCGAAAAAAUUGCCGGGCUCCGGCUCGGCUUUCAACGCGACCCAAGGUCAGGCGGGGUUACCCGCUGAAUUUAAGCAUAUCAAUAAGCGGAGGA